CUCACCUGCCGAAUCAACUAGCCC
RNAcentral lists this non-coding RNA (24 nucleotides) under Arabidopsis thaliana (thale cress). RNAcentral also lists the same sequence under 4 other names. Lineage: Eukaryota; Viridiplantae; Streptophyta; Magnoliopsida; Brassicales; Brassicaceae. The record is from RNAcentral.